GAGCCGGUAAUACCCGAAGUCAGUACGUCCAACCUCGUGAGGACGCUGCCGAAGGUAGGAUUGGCGACUGGGGUGAAGUCGUAACAAGGUAGC
RNAcentral lists this ribosomal RNA (93 nucleotides) under uncultured bacterium. RNAcentral's name for it is "partial 16S ribosomal RNA". The record is from RNAcentral.